This 274-nucleotide ribosomal RNA is filed under the name uncultured bacterium. Its description in RNAcentral is "partial 16S ribosomal RNA". It matches the Rfam family "Bacterial small subunit ribosomal RNA", at positions 523 to 796 of the family's 1533-position model. The record is from RNAcentral.
AUACGGAGGGGGCUAGCGUUGUUCGGAAUUACUGGGCGUAAAGCGCGCGUAGGCGGCUUAUCAAGUUAGGCGUGAAAGGCCUGGGCUCAACCCGGGAACUGCGCUUAAUACUGGUAGACCUGAGUCCGAGCGAGGGUGGCGGAAUUCCCAGUGUAGAGGUGAAAUUCGUAGAUAUUGGGAAGAACACCAGUGGCGAAGGCGGCCACCUGGCCCGGUACUGACGCUGAGGUGCGAAAGCGUGGGGAGCAAACAGGAUUAGAAACCCCAGUAGUCC